GGGGUGCUGAGGUCCCAUAAUCUCUUUCAGGGUAUUCCUCCAAAAUGGCGCACUCAAGUGACUGAUGGCAGGAGGCCUCAGUUCCUCUUACAUGAACAUCUCUGGAGGCUGCUUGUGUGUCCUCAUGACAUGGAAGCUCUGGCAGUGAAUAAUAUGAGAGAGAGAGAGAGAGAGUCUGCAAAGCCCUUUUUUGCCUUGGAAGUCAGACACUGUCAGUUCUGCUGUAUUCUAUCUGUUACCAGCAAGGCACCAAGUGUUCAGGGAUAGGGGAAUGAAGUUUUGCCUCCUGAAAAAGAGUAUCACAUAAUUUGUGGAAAAAAGUUCACCACAAUUAGCUGCUAUUAAUUUUUAUAGCAAGAUCAGAAAAUACUGUGUUGCCCUCCGCUGGAAAUUGGUAUAUGAAAAAUGAAUAACAAGUGGGCGAAUGAACUGCAAAUGAUACAUCAUUCAAAAUUGAAAUAACUGUCUUUCAGAAGGGGAGAAUUUCAGGACCCACCGAAUGACAGCAUACCAUCCAUUUUCACAGUAGCAAACCACUCUGAUCCUCGAAAAGUUGUACCUCUCUGGUUCUGCCACUGGAGUCCAAGAAUCUGCAUUUAAAAGCUCAACACGUUAAUCUGAUGUGUGGCCAGGUUUGGAAAGUUCUGGCAUAGACAAAUGUUUUACCCUUCCUAUCUCUCUCUCUCUCUCUCUCUCUCUCUCUCCUCCCAAUUCUGUUUUGCUUGAUUUUCUAGUUUCCCAGCUUCCGUCACCAAAUAUGGCUCUUUUCAGACUGUACUCCUCGUCUGUUGGGCCUGGGAUCUCCAUGUGGAUUUUCAGCUUUGCUGACUUUCUUGUCUAGCUCCAAGGAAUCUCUCCCUAGCCCCAGGUGGACUUGGCUGGUCUCCACCCACCACCCUACCACCAGGGCUCCACUGUUCCUGAUCGUCUCCCUCCACACAAACACAGCUUCCAUUCUUGGCUAUUGAAUCCAUCCACCAGGUCUCCACCACCAGACCAAGCAGAGGAUGGGAAAAAUCAUUCCCAUACUUCAGACACUCAUUCAAGCAAAAAUGAUUUCCUCCCCUUGAAUGAUCCAGGUAAUUGUUUUCAUUCUUUGCUUUGCUUUGCCUCUGGGGGCCUGACCCAAGAGGUUCUGUGAGUCCCGUUAAAAUUUGGUCCCAGUAAUAAAUAUUUCUUAUCUAAUUGCCUUCUCCUUUGUUCCACAGGAGGUUGUUUUCGGAGGAGAGGAUCUGUAGGUAAACGAGAAGGAGCUUCAAUACUGAGCAACAUGAAGAUAAAAAUGAUGCUACCUCCAGUCCACUUUCUGGAAGGGACCCACUCUGUUUCGCUUCUCCCUGACACAUGCAUCAGCAAGGAGCAAAUUACCAUUUAUUAAACCCUAAUUAUCACUCCUGUUUUUCAAUACUGUUCUCUGUGUAUGUGCCCCUCCCCACCCCCAGGCCUGCACUUCACUGCCACUAAAUUAGCAAUACAUCUUGUUAGCAUAGCAUCCAUAUUUAUAGGCAGUGUUGACUGAUGCUGUAGUGACAUGGUACAAAGUCAAAGGCCUUUAAUAGAAGGUUAGGGACAUGUCCUGAUUCUGGAG
Molecule: long non-coding RNA, 1588 nt
Filed under: Marmota monax (woodchuck)
Lineage: Eukaryota; Metazoa; Chordata; Mammalia; Rodentia; Sciuridae
Source: RNAcentral